This 73-nucleotide transfer RNA is filed under the name Felis catus (domestic cat). It matches the Rfam family "tRNA". Rfam says of the family: Transfer RNA (tRNA) molecules are approximately 80 nucleotides in length. Their secondary structure includes four short double-helical elements and three loops (D, anti-codon, and T loops). The record is from Rfam by way of RNAcentral. RNAcentral also lists the same sequence under 3 other names. Lineage: Eukaryota; Metazoa; Chordata; Mammalia; Carnivora; Felidae.
ACCAGGAUGGCUCAGUAGGUACAGUGUGUGACUCUUGAUCUCAGAGUUGUGGGUUCAAGCCCCACACUGGGUG